This 1815-nucleotide long non-coding RNA is filed under the name Homo sapiens (human). Its description in RNAcentral is "HSALNT0214339". The record is from RNAcentral. Lineage: Eukaryota; Metazoa; Chordata; Mammalia; Primates; Hominidae.
GUUUCUGGUAUCUCUCUUGAACUCUGGUGUUUUUACAAGAGGCACACAAAAGAGAGACACAGAGAGAAGAUGAGAAGACUGAGGCAGACAUUGGAAUGACGCAACCAGGAGCCAAGGAAUGCCUGGAUCCAUGGGAAGCAGAAGAGGCUUUCUCACCAUGUGAUGCAUUCUGCUAUGUUAUGAUACAGCAAGAAGGGCCUCACAAGAUGUGACCUCUUGUUCUUGGACUUCUCAGCCUCCAGAAUCAUGAGCCCCUCUUUGAGCCGAAGGACUAGAGGAACAAAAGACUCAGCCCCAAGGUUAUCCGCUGCUGCUGCCCCCGAGACAGUAAGACCGACUCCUCCUCUUUCUCCUCCUCUUCAUCCUACUCUAUGUGAAGACAAGAAUGAAGAUCUUUGUGACGAUCCACUUCCAGUGAAUGAUUACUAAGAGUAUCCACGUGACCUGGACCUGGGUGAGUGGGUCCUAGAAAAAUUUUUGCUUUCUUGCUACUCUUCCUUCUUCUCACUGGAAUGUAAAUGUAAAGGGUGGAGCUGCAGCAGCCAUCUUGCUAUCACAAAAGAAAGACUGAGAGAACAGCAGAAGAGUUGACCUUAAUGUUGUUGAACCACUGAAUCAACGCUGUAAACAAUCUAUCUCCAAAAUUCUUGGUAUGUGAGAAACUAAACUACUGUUUAUUUAAGUUGGGUUGUCUGUUAAGUGCAGCUGAAUGUCUUCCUAAUUGAUACAGAAAUGCAUUUAAAAAAUAGCAUGCACACUUUUUAGUAUGAGCUAAGAAAAUGAGUAAGAACACAGCACAUUGAACCCAAUUUUGCAUUUGCAAUCCCCAAAGAACCCUGGUACACUUUUGUAGAAUAUUAAUGUGAAACCUAAGUUUGGGGAAUGUCUCUGAUGAGAAGUUGGGAAACAGAAAUAGAUGAGACCUAUCUAUGGUGCAAAGAUAAAUUUUGGUUAGAAAGAAAAGAGCAAGAACAUGCACAAAAAUGUGUGGCAGAACCAGGCUGUGGGCAGGAACCAGAGGAGCUGUCUACUAUGGUUGUAUUUAAUAUGACUGCUGAGGACAAAGCUCUGAUUUUUUUAUCUGGCCCAAAUUCCUAUCUAAGGUGUCUGGAGAGUCAUGCCUUACAAACCAUACAUUCUCAUCAGAUGGGUUUUAUUUAACCCCAUAUAUUGUGACUUUCCAAUCUGACUCUGGCAUAAUAUUAUGUGACAAAAAAGAAAGUCAAAAUAUUUUACUCCAAAACAUCUUUCUUUGUCUUAUUUUGAAAUGGCCCUGCAAAUGUGUCCUUUGUGGGGGGAAAUUUAUACCUGUAAAGAAUCUCUAUUAACAUAGCUAUAUCUUUUUCUUCCUGGCCCUCCCAAUCCUAAAGAGAUUGAGUAAGAGUCUAGCACCUUUUAAAGGUCUGAAUAGGAAACAUUUGUCAUCUAUUCCCCCGAAGAACAGCCACUGUAAGACUUCAAAAGAACUGUGGUCUGCACAAUCUUUUAUCUUAACCUGAACAUUUCUUUUCUAUGGAACCCAGGUCUUUAGACAAACUCAACCAAUUGUCAACCAGAAAAUGUUUAAAUGUUUCUAUAGCCUGGAAGCCGCCUCCUCCCCACCACCAUCCCAUUCCACUUUGAGUUGUCUGGUUUUUCUAGACCAAACCAAUGUAUUUCUUAAAUGUAUUUGUUUGAUGUCUCAUGCCUCCCUAAAAUGUACAAAACCAAGCUGUGUCCAACCACCUUGGGCACAUGUCCUCAGGACCUUCUGAGGGCUGUGUCACCAGAUGUGGUCAUUCAUAUUUGGCUCAGAAUAAAUCUCUUCAAAUAUUU